Molecule: long non-coding RNA, 241 nt
Filed under: Hordeum vulgare
Lineage: Eukaryota; Viridiplantae; Streptophyta; Magnoliopsida; Poales; Poaceae
Description: long non-coding RNA (HVUL_LNC012268)
Source: RNAcentral
GUCCCUGUGGCUCACAGAUUACUACAACACCAGUUGCAGGUACAGGUAAAGGAAUACUUUGACGCGAGCGCGUUGAUUGUUCAUUUGGAGUUUCUUCUUCUUCAUCGUCGGUCUAGGAUGGGUUCUAGACCGGCAGCCUGGGAUAGCAAGGAUGGACGUCGUUCUUUUAUCGUUUGUUUUCGUCCGUAGACGGACCUUGCUCUUCUUCAUAAUGAUUGUAUGAUUUGUACUGAUGUGACUG